AUUGAACGCUGGCGGCAGGCCUAACACAUGCAAGUCGAGCGGAUGAAGGGAGCUUGCUCCUGGAUUCAGCGGCGGACGGGUGAGUAAUGCCUAGGAAUCUGCCUGGUAGUGGGGGAUAACGUCCGGAAACGGGCGCUAAUACCGCAUACGUCCUGAGGGAGAAAGUGGGGGAUCUUCGGACCUCACGCUAUCAGAUGAGCCUAGGUCGGAUUAGCUAGUUGGUGGGGUAAAGGCCUACCAAGGCGACGAUCCGUAGCUGGUCUGAGAGGAUGAUCAGUCACACGGGAACUGAGACACGGUCCAGACUCCUACGGGAGGCAGCAGUGGGGAAUUUUGGACAAUGGGCGAAAGCCUGAUCCCGCCAUGCCGCGUGGGGGAAGAAGGUCUUGGGAUUGUAAAGCACUUUAAGUUGGGGGGAAGGGCAGUAAGUUAAUACCUUGCUUUUUUGACGUUACCAACAGAAUAAACACCGGCUAACUUCGU
This 483-nucleotide ribosomal RNA is filed under the name uncultured bacterium. RNAcentral describes it as "partial 16S ribosomal RNA". It matches the Rfam family "Bacterial small subunit ribosomal RNA", at positions 30 to 506 of the family's 1533-position model. The record is from RNAcentral.